Molecule: ribosomal RNA, 469 nt
Filed under: uncultured bacterium
Lineage: Bacteria
Description: SSU rRNA
Rfam family: Bacterial small subunit ribosomal RNA
Source: RNAcentral
AGAACGAACGCUGGCGGCAGGCCUAAUACAUGCAAGUCGAACGCACUCUUCGGAGUGAGUGGCAGACGGGUGAGUAACGCGUGGGAACCUUCCCAAUGGUACGGAAUAACUCCGGGAAACCGGUGCUAAUACCGUAUAAGCCCCUCGGGGGAAAGAUUUAUCGCCAUUGGAUGGGCCCGCGUCGGAUUAGCUAGUUGGUAAGGUAAUGGCUUACCAAGGCUACGAUCCGUAGCUGGUCUGAGAGGAUGAUCAGCCACACUGGGACUGAGACACGGCCCAGACUCCUACGGGAGGCAGCAGUAGGGAAUCUUGGACAAUGGGCGAAAGCCUGAUCCAGCCAUGCCGCGUGAGUGAAGAAGGCCUUAGGGUUGUAAAGCUCUUUUGUUGGGAAAGAAAUCCUGUCGGUUAAUACCCGGUAGGAUGACGGUACCAAAGAAUAAGCACCGGCUAACUUCGUGCCAGCAGCCGC